This 492-nucleotide ribosomal RNA is filed under the name uncultured bacterium. RNAcentral describes it as "partial 16S ribosomal RNA". It matches the Rfam family "Bacterial small subunit ribosomal RNA", at positions 29 to 507 of the family's 1533-position model. The record is from RNAcentral.
AGUGAACGCUGGCGGCAGGCCUAACACAUGCAAGUCGAACGGCAGCACAGUACGAGUUUGCUCUUCCCGGUGGCGAGUCGGGGACGUGAGAGGUGUAUAGCGGACUCUACUUUUUCGUGGGAGAUCACGUAGGGAAACUUACGCUAAUACCGCAUCCGCCCUAGGGGUGAAAGCGGGGGAUCUUCGCACCUUGCGCGAAUGAAUGCGCGGAUGUGGGAUUAGUUAGUUGGCGGGGUAAAGGCCCACCCAGGCGCCGAUCCGUAGCUGGUCUGAGAGGAGGAUCAGCCACACUGGAACUGAGACACGGUCCAGACUCCUAUGGGAGGCAGCAGUGGGGAAUAUUGGACAAUGGGCGCAAGCCUGAUCCAGCCAUACCGCGUGGGUGAAGAAGGCCUUCGGGUUGUAAAGCCCUUUUGUUGGGAAAGAAAAGCAGCAGGUUAAUACCCCGCUGUACUGACGGUACCCGAAGAAGAAGCACCGGCUAACUUCGUG